GUAUUUUUUAGUUCUACAAUAUCUUUUUGGUUCUUUCUAAUUUUUCAUGUUAUUUUUUAUAGUUUCCAUUUUUCUGCUGAAACUUUGUUGAAUUUGGCCUUUAUUUCCUUUAACAGAAUGAGCAUCAUUGUUUUCCAGAUCUGAUUCUCAAAUCUAAUGAUUUGAGUAUUUUCAAUUCUUAUGGGUCUCUUUCUCUUGGUUCUUGCUCGUGAUCUAUUUUCUCAUUAGUGCUUAAUUACCUAUCACAUCUGUAUGAGGAAAUAAUUUGAGGCCUACAACGACAUCUUCCUCUAAAGAGGAAAUAUGACAUACAUAUCCCCUUGCAUCUUCCAAUCAAUGUUUGCAGAAUUCACAUUUCUUCUCAGAUUCCUGGAGGCACUGAACAUUCAGAAACAUCUUAAUUCAAUGGCUUCUUACUCACCUUACUCCUAGGGAUCACCAGCCUUCCCAGGGCAGCUUCCCAUGCUUACUUUGGAGGGUCUGUAUUCCGCUGUCAUCUCCCGAGCUACCCAAGGCUGCCAAAAACAUAGCCCAUUUUUCAGCUAUCUUUUCAGGGCUGGCACAAAACCCCCUAAAGAAAAUGUUGCACCUAAUCUGCUGUUAAACCCACCUCAGAUUUCCAUUCUGUCUCCACUCUUGCAUCAGUAAUUACUAAUAAGUAAUCACUAGCUUGUUAGCAAUUUAAUGCUCUUAAGUUAUAGACAAAGAUAUAAAUAUUGUCCUACUUUUUCAGUUGUCCUCAGUAGGAGAGUGGUCCUGAUGGCCUAGUCUACUAUUCCUGGAAAUUGAGGUUCAAUGUGUUUCUUGAUUUUCUUAUUUUCAUCCUUACUUUAGUAUGUACUUAUUAACAUUAAAAUAAAACAAAAUAAUUUAAAUUUAUUCAGUAUCAAACAUACCAUGCUAUCACAAGUAACAUCAAAACUAAGUUGUAAGUUUGGGGAAACCAACUCAAACUGACUUGAGGGGA
RNAcentral lists this long non-coding RNA (967 nucleotides) under Marmota monax (woodchuck). Lineage: Eukaryota; Metazoa; Chordata; Mammalia; Rodentia; Sciuridae. The record is from RNAcentral.